GGGGCUGCUCGCUAUAGCAACUUCAUUCACUCUUCUUCUACUAACUACUUGCUCGCGAUAGUUUUAGAGAAAACUGCUGUGGAAAACUCGGCCAGAAGCUAGCAUGUAUCAAGUGAAUCCACAACAUCACCACAAACGUCUUUUCAAGCCAGAAAUGUUAAUGGAUAACAGUAGCCGUGUAGAGGAAGACUGGAUACGAAGAAGAGUGAAGGAGACAGGAGGAAAGGUAUGAUUACAGAGCCUGCCAAUGUAUCAUUCCAAACUAUGUUUUUCAGAUAAAAUACAAAAAUGAGGCAAGCAAUGGGAAUCUGUUAACCAAAGUAUUUUAUCUAAUAGUAUGCUAUUUAUUAAUACAGAUUGGAGAGGAAGGAAUAAUUAAUGGAGUAAAGAGUGAAGCAAGGAGAGUGUAGAAGAGUGAGGUGGAAAGGUGAAGAGAAGGAAAGGAAGGAAGACGAGUGAAGAAAAGAAUAAAAAGUUGAGUAAGAAGAGUGACAAGGAGAGUGAAGAGAAGACAGAGGAGAUACAAUGACUCUUUCCAAGAAACGGAAAUGCACUCAUGAAAAACAGAAUUUCCAUUUAUAAACUCAGGUCAAGACAAUCGAAUGGUUCACUGCACCCUUUGUAAUUCCUCUCUUUCAGAACGGCAGAGGUAGAACAUCAGCAGACGAAAAAGCAUAAAGCCUCUGAGGGCCUGUGUUAGUAUGCCCCCUGGCUGAGACGCAAAGAAAGUUCAAGGAGAGGGGCUACAAGAAUGAUCAGAUUAAUAUUGCCAUUGAGAAAAUUCAAAACAAAACAUGACCUUUUUCAAGGUCAGUCUCUCAAAAAGACACAUUCUUGCAUUUUAACUACCUGCUAUUCAAAGUGCUCUGAACAAAUUAAGGGAAUUGUUCAAACAUUGGCACAUCCUAAAAUCCAAUGAUAGUCCUGGUAAUGUGUUUUCGGACCUUCCCUUGGUCGUAUUCUCGCGGGGCAGAAAUCUGAGACCAAUUGGUAAACUCUGAUUUACCACCCCAAGAUAUUCCUGAACAACAUCUAUUUGCGCCCCUACUGGAUGGAAAUUACAAAUGUAAUGGCUGUGCUCAAUGCAAUGGCACUUAUAAAUGUAGAUCCUUCAAACACCCACAAACAGGGAAAUCGAUCCCAAUAAAAGGUGUUAUUACGUGCUCCAUUAAGGCAGUUAUUUAUCUUAUAACCUUUCCUUGUGGUAAAAAAAUAUGUAGGUAAAACAAAGCGCGAAUUAAAAGUACGUAUCUCAGAGCAUCGUAGCACCAUUAAGUGUUAACUUUACUUAUCCAGUUGCGGCCCACUUCUUGGAGGCAGGCCACUCGAUUUCGUCUCUGCGUUAUAUUGGCAUCGAACAUGUCACCCUCCCUAGGAGAGGGGGUGACCUUGAUAAUUUAUUGUUAAAACGAGAGGCUGACUGGAUCUUUAAUUUAAAGACCCUUGCUGCCUGGAUCUUUAAUUUAAAGACCCUUGUGCCCUUCGGUCUCAAUGUAGACUUUGAUCUGAAGCCAUAUUUGUGAUUGUGACUUUGCCAUUGUAAUUGUUUGUAAACUUGUGUAGUCAAAUUAAUCUAUGAUCGUAUGCUAUCCAUUUGUUGUUUGUAUGCUGUUCUUUGUAUGACAUUUUAAUAUUUGAUUAUUAACCAAUGAUAUUAGGCCACUCUUGGCCAUGAUUACAGACACCUGUUUAUAUAGUGUCAAGACAUGAGUCAUCCCGCAGUGUUUGUGAUUAUACCCUGAUGAAGACAGCUUGGCUGUCGAAACGUUGUAUGCCCUCCUGUCACCACAUUCUUCAAGAAGGUAGAGCCUU
Molecule: long non-coding RNA, 1812 nt
Organism: Oncorhynchus masou masou (cherry salmon)
Lineage: Eukaryota; Metazoa; Chordata; Actinopteri; Salmoniformes; Salmonidae
Exons: 3
Source: RefSeq, a predicted model, not a curated record